This 72-nucleotide transfer RNA is filed under the name Mus musculus (house mouse). Its description in RNAcentral is "tRNA-Val". Lineage: Eukaryota; Metazoa; Chordata; Mammalia; Rodentia; Muridae. The record is from RNAcentral.
UGGGGUGUAGCUCAGUGGGAGAGUGUUUACUUGACAUACAUGAGGCCUUGGGUUCCAACCCCAAGACUCUUG